Molecule: RNA transcript, 5011 nt
Organism: Solea senegalensis (Senegalese sole)
Lineage: Eukaryota; Metazoa; Chordata; Actinopteri; Pleuronectiformes; Soleidae
Gene name: ankyrin repeat and SOCS box protein 13-like
Exons: 7
Source: RefSeq, a predicted model, not a curated record
UCAGGUGUACCACGUGACUCCGGCUGCACGUGGUGUAAACGCUGUCAGGACGUGGUUGUUUACCAACGUCAGUGUGCUUUAGCACGGCUAAUAUACGACGUGUUUAAGACACAGCGGAGGAUGGAAAUUGAAAACAGUCACGCAUAUUUCAUAGGGGACAUUGGCAGCUGGUCGGAGAGAACAGAGGUGCACAAAGCGGCCUACCUCGGCCAGGUCUCCCAGCUGCAGCACCUCAUUCAAAGCGGCGCUUCAGUCAAUGUGGUGGCAGUGGAUUCCAUCACACCCCUGCACGAGGCCUGCGUCCGUGGCCAGGCCCAGUGUGUGAGGCUGCUUCUGGAGGCGGGAGCCCAGGUGGAUGCGAGGAAUGUGGACGGCAGCACUCCGCUGUGUGAAGCGAGUUCAGCUGGAAGUCUGGAGUGCGUGAAAAUCUUGCUGGAUCACGGUGCCAAGGCCAACCCCGCUCUCACCUCACGCACAGCCUCACCUCUCCACGAGGCCUGCAUGGGAGGUAACUCGGACUGUGUUAAGCUCCUGGUUGCCACAGGAGCUUCUUUGGAGGCGUACGACCUUUACUAUGGCACCCCGCUACAUGUAGCUUGUGUGAACAAGAAGACAGACUGUGUUAAAGUGCUGCUUAAUGCAGGUGCUAAAGUGAAUUCUGCCAGGUUCCAUGAAACUCCACUGCACCACGCUGCUAAAAACAUGCAGCUGGAGAUGAUUGAGACGCUGGUGGUGUUCGGGGCCAACAUCCACGCCAGAGAUCAGCAGGACAGGAAACCAGUGGACUACACAACACCAGGAUCUCCCUCCGCCACCUGCCUCAAGUUCUAUGAGACCACUCCCAUGAGUCUGCAGCAGCUCAGCAGGCUGGCAGUGAGGAAGAGGCUGGGCACCAGUGCACUGAAGGUCAUAGGUCAGCUGGACAUACCAAAACUCAUCAUCAGCUUCCUCUGCUAUCAGUGAGAGCUUCCUGGAGGAGGAGGAUCGACGCUCAAAGAAAGACUGCAGGUUGACAGAGCUGCCACUCCUGCUGCAAAACUCUGUCGUUACGAAUAACAAUAGGUAAAGCAGCUUCCUCCCACUGUCCAAACACAUCCUGGUUGGUGUUCGAUAAAUUGAAGGCUUUAACUUGACCGUCGGGGUGAAUGUGGGUGUGUAAGUUGUAUCCCACCUCUCUCACUCAAUAUCAGCUCCUUAUGCACCAUGUAAAAAUGGAUCCUCUUGUUGCAAAAGCAUCUCCUGUUUUAAAGCAAUAUGAAAUAUGGUCAACAUACUGCCCUGGGGCCAAAUCCGGCCCGCAAAACCAUUUUUUUCAACCCGUAACAUCUUCAUAGUUAACCUCAAGUAAUAGAAGUAACAAGAUCAACGAUUGUCUUGUGAACGGCCCAUUUGAACGCAGCAUAUUAAUAUACAGGGUCCAGCGGUUUCGGAGUCUACUCAAAUCAACCACACACAGAGAAGGGGUGUUACCAGUACUCGUCUGUAUAUACCUGCUGAAUGUAUUAAUUGUUUUCUGACAUCUUAUGAAGCAGAAUGUUGUACCUUUUUUAAAUACCAAGAGCAAUGCCAGUCAGUGAAGUUGUCACAGCAUCACUGGGGGGUGAAGUUCUCCAGAUGCUACUUGGCUUCAUGUCACAUUCCUGCCUGGUGUUUUUAUACAGACACUGAAGCUCAGAGCAGACAGUUUCCUGGCUAUUUAUACCUUUUGUCUUCUUUAAAUCUGAUUACAUUGUCGCUGCUGCCCAGGGAGUUUAGUGAGCUACUGGUGUUUGCAGGAAGAUAUGCACGAAGUAAUUUACAGUAUGGGUAGUUCAUACAGGGUUCCCACGGGUCCUUGAAAUCCUUGAGAGGAUGGAAUAAAAAAAUCCAAGGCCCUUGAACGUUUUUGAAUAUCACCCUAAAUAGACAUGGGUCAUUGAAAGUGCUUGAAUGUUGUGCAAGAAAAAAGUUAAGAUUAUAUUUAGGUAAAUGUGUCCCGCCACUGAUGUGCCCUUGUUUGUUACGACGCCACCUACUGUUUCAUGCGCCCUGCAUUGUUUGAUGUAUGUAUGAACCAACAGGGUUGUGGGCACUGUGCAUUGUCUCUCUCUCUCUCUCUCUCUCUCUCUCUGCUGUUGAAAUGUAUCUGUCAGCACAUUAGCUUCUUUAAAUUUGAGGGAAUUUGUUCUGGAAAGUCCAUGAAAAAUCCACCAAGGUGUGGGAACCCUGUUCAAAGUUAUUCCUUAGCUCCUACUCAUUUUAAGGUUUCAUAACUUUAAUAUACCCAUGGAUGUUCAAUAAGGCCAACUCAGGAUUGCACUUUUCCAAGAAGUCUUUCCCUGUUUCUCCUCAGACCAAACACAUACAGUAAAUUUAAGCCGUUUUAGCCCAGUGAUCUUCAACAAUAAUACAUCAUCUUUCCUUCACCGCAAAGUUUAAUUUCAGCUGUGCUCCAUUUGGCCUGGAUGGUAUGUGAAGUAAUAAUAUUCUUUGUAGGCCACUGUUGGUCAAGAUAGACCAUGAAUAAUGUGCCCUAGUUUGUGUCUGGAGCAGGGUCAUGUGUAGCUGAAGGCCAGUGCAGGGCGGACCUCCUCUGUCCCUGUUGCAGUGGUCGUAGUGGUGUCCUGUCUCUGGCCGACUGGUGGAGGCCUCUCUUUCCUCAAUGAUGUAUAUCAUCAGAAAACCUCAGUGUCUUGUAUCUUGUGUUGCGCUUCGAUCCCAAGAAUGUGAUGAAGACAGCUUCUUCUAUUUGGCAUAUUUUAUCAAUGCCUUAUAACAGCAGAAAGGAGUGUCUAAGCAUUGUUCACUGCAGCCUUCAUCUUUUUAAUAAGCCUGGCUAAGGUUGAUGUAGUCUUCCUGCUGUGUAGUUGAUUUCAUCAUCCAGAUGAAUAUGUCAGUGAUGAUAGAGUGGGCAUCACCAAAUCGUUUACCAUGAUUAUAGCGUCACUCUAAUGAGCCCAUCGAAUCGAUUGUUCACCGGAAGAGAGAGGUGGGAAUGAGAAGACAUGGCUUAAUUCAAAGUAAGGAAAGUUGAUACGGAAAACGUAGCGUGUAAAAGUGAAUGGACGGACCAAUACCAUCGCCCUUCCAAUGAGCUUUUCUUUGUGCAAAGUAUGCUGGAUUGUGGAACGAUGAACAACUACACCAUCAGUAGCCAGAUGUUCUUUUGGCCUUCCAUUUCUGCACUACAUUUCUGACUCCUAACUGUUUUGAUAGUUUCUUGUACCCCUAAUUCAUGAUAAUGAAUUAUCUUAGUUUUCCCCAUGUUGCCACACUCUAAAAAAGAACCUAGGACAAGCACAGUCAGCAAUUACCUCUGUUAAACUGCCUUUUUCAUGAUUGGUUCCACCUGCCUUUGUAACUGAAGGUCUCACGAGCUAAUCAAAGUAAUUUUGUGCUGCAACCUGUCAGCUAUAAAUCCCUACAGGUCUUGAGAUUAAUGUGAUUAAAAGGGUGCCCAAACUGAUGCACAUACUAUUUUUUACAUUUAAUUUUAUCAUAAUAAAACUAUGUAAUGUUACUCUAAGAAUUUUUAUUCACUCAAAUGUCUACAUCUCUGUAGGAAAUCAAAUCUUGCUGCUGUGAUCUUCCCUAAAUUUAGAGCUGAGAGCACAGUAUAACAGAUAUACCCGACUCCUCACACGCCCCAACAACGUGCACAUUUUUUAUAUUGUUAAUAACUGUUUAUUUUGCCGUGAUGUUGCAAAUGUCAUUGAUUAUUAUUUGUGCUUGUGUUUUAUUCAAUGUCAGUAUAUAGAAUAAUCUAACAUGCACUUAAAUUCAAAUAAUAAAUUAAAAUCACUUGUACAAAAAUGAGGUCUGUUGUAUACCAGCAAAUCAGUCAGUUAUGGUCAAAUACAAUGAUUAUGCAUGUUUAUUGCAGUAUUGUGAGGGUUAUAAGCACAGACAACCGGUCACUGAUGCCUAUCAGUAGGACAGGAAGAGGAUUUCAACAAAGAUAACUUGAGAAAACUUUUUCAUGCCUGACACCGAGGCCUAUAUCACAAAUUUAAACAUCCGCCAAUAUGACACAUGUCCUGCUCCAGUGAUACAGAUGAUACUGUAGGCAGGGCGACAUAUACAGCUUUAACAUGGCAGGGAUUAUGAGAGCUCAGCAUCAGCAUCUUAAGCCUCUGGCAACAGGCACUUUGGAAAAUAAAAAAUUACCAAACGUUGUAGCACCUCAUCAAAAUGAUGUGCAAGAAAGAGACUGUUGUGUUUUAGACAUGUGCAAAAUCUAAUUUGGUCGUUUCAGAGCACACUGUAAACUGUAGAUUGAGAUUAGAGGUGAGUGUGUCCUGGACUUAAACCCUUGUCCAUGUGCAGUUUACUGACGUCAGGCUCCAGGAUUCUUAUCUAACUUGUCUCUUGCCUGAAUGUGCAGCUGCCAGCAGGCAGUCACAGUCUGUAGCCUCCUGUCAGCUCUGUGUUUACUGACAAAUCCUAACAAAGCCUUCAAAAGCAUUGUUUCCUCCACAUCUCUCUCCUCACUCCCCACAUCUGGCUCUCUCUCCCUCUUCUCUGAGAUGAACGUGCUCAGGCUGCUCCUCCACCGCACGCUCUAAUCAUGCCAGUACAUUCUUAUCAACAAACAUCCAUCAAUACACGUUUGAUGUUUUUUAGACCAGUUUUAAGACCAAACAAAAAUGCUGUGUAGUUAAUUUUAGUCCGUAAACAACAAGCUUGGAGCACGGGUUUGACCUCUUUCCUUUUACGACCUUUUUUAAAUAAAACGUUUGACCCUGAUACAGUCGGUGUGGCUGAAAAUAACCUCUGCCAAACAUGACUGGUUUCAAGAGAGUGGAAAAAAGCAGCGAGGAGGGCAAGCAUGCAGGGUAUGUCCACUUAUCUAAGAUGAAAAAUGGCUUGUGCUGCAAGAAAAAGGGAUGCUGAGCUUCAGAGUGGCUGCUGUGUUGGCAGUGUUUUUCUGAAAGUGAAUAAAGUCAGGGUUAAUGCACUGAUUUAUCUGUUGUUAAUAUUUAUCUGUACAGAAAUGUUGAUUUAUUGAAUAAAAUGUAACUGUUACUACUGA